This 3245-nucleotide long non-coding RNA is filed under the name Mus musculus (house mouse). RNAcentral describes it as "long non-coding RNA chr9:72440760-72444005". The record is from RNAcentral. Lineage: Eukaryota; Metazoa; Chordata; Mammalia; Rodentia; Muridae.
AAAAAUAUGUCUUUUUUUUUUUUUAAAUAUCUUUAUGGGGCGGGAGCAAUGGCUCAUCAGUUAAUAGCACUUGUUACUUUUGCAGAGGACCCAGGUACAGUUCUCAGCACCCACGGGGCUGUCUGUAACUCUCUUUCCAGGGGUUACCACACCCUCUUCUGGUCUCUGUGGGCACUAGGCACACACAUGGUGCAUAUACACAAAUGCAGGAAUAACACCAAUACACAUUAAAAUAAGUAUUUUUUAAAACAGAUCAUGAAAUAUCUUUAUGAGAUCAGAACUCAAGAAUUCAUGUAUAAUUGCAGUUUUUUCCCUGACAGUACUGGGGAUUGAACCUAGGACGUCAUGCACGCAAAGGCAAGCACUCUACCACUAAGCUACAGCCCUAGCCUCUGUUAUUUACUGUCUUGAGGACAAGUUAAGAAAGUAAUUCCUCCUCCCCCCUCUCUUCCCCCCCCCCACCCUUGUGUAGUGGGGAAGAGGACCAUUAGCAGGGGUCCCAUUUCCUCCUCCUAUCAUGCUGGUCCUGGGGAUUGAGUCCAAGUCUUGGGCACACUUGCCUCCACCCUCCCCUCCCUUCCCCGCCUCGAAACCUCCCCCCUCCCCCAGCCAUCUUAUCAGGGGCCUGGUAUUUCUUUGAUCCUCCAAUCAUUCUGUCCUUGGCCAGUGGGUCCUCCUGUGCUGCUUCUGUGCUCUUUUGACAAAACAGCCUCUGAUCUUUGAUAACUUUCUUGCCUUCUGUUGGCUUGAUCGGGCCCUGAGCUAACCUUUUCUGGGUGUUUUCAGAUAAGAGUGACACCAAGUCAGGCUGAGUGAGCAGUUUACCCUCCGCAUGAGGGAGGACCUCAUUCUGCCAGUUGAAAGCUUGGUAGAACAAAGAGGCUGAGAGUUACCAAAACAGCCAAUUCUUCCGACCAGACCCCUUCAAGAGGAGAUAUCUGCUUCAGGGCUUUUGAUUUUUUGUUUUUUGCCUUGGACUCUGAUUGUAACACUGUCUCUUCCUGUGUCCUAAGCUCACUCUUGUUAGUUUGGACAGGAAGUACAGCAUUUCAUCUACUGGGUCUCAGAUGUAAGACUCGGAAUAGAGUGAUGUGGUUGGCUUUUCAGCUUGUGGGCUUCCCUGCAGCUCCUGGGGCUUGCUGGCUUGCUCAUCACACAGGGCUUGUUUCAGCAGGCCUUGUGCCACACCAGUUAUGCCAAAGUCAGAGUGAUCACUAGUUCCAGAUUAUCAUACCUCUGGGACCUUUUGGUGAACAGACCUAGGAAAUAUACACAUUAUAGCUUUUUAUUUUGAGGCAAGAUGGGAUUGAUCAAAGAGAUAAAAAACUGUAUAGAGAUUUCAUAAACCCCUUGCCUGGCUUCUUAUGCCAGAGUCUUACAUAGAAGAUGAAACCAUGAGAUUAUCACCACAGAGCAGUUCACCUUCCUACUGUUCUGUUGACUGAACUUGAGGGCUUUCUAAGUACGUGGGUUUUUUUUUUUUUUUUUUUUUUUUUGUUGGCUUUUGCUUUUUCCUCAUGUUCUUCUUGUUCUAGCCUAAGUUACCUGUAGUGUCAUGUCUCCUUGGUCCCUCCAGUCUCGCUUUUCCAGCCUGAGAGUUUCUUCCUGACACUGUGGAAAGUGUAGUUUGGUGUCAGCUUUUCUGCCAUGUAAUACGUUACUGAAAAUUUAGCAGCUUGCAGCAACUCAUGUUUGCACACACCUACCGGGGCAGAAACACAGGUGUGCUGAUUCCCCUCCCCGCUGUCUCAUAGGCUGAGCCUCGGCUGGCUGGGGUGUGCUCCCUUCUGAUGAACACACACCCAGCUGACUACGAACCUUUAUGCCCUUUGCAUGGAGGGAGCCAGAGACGGGGAGUGUCCGCUAAGAGUUCGUGUUUUGAAUCCUAUCUUCUUAAAGGUUUUUUUUUAUUUGUAUUUUUAUGUGUAUUUUAUUUUUUAUUUUUAUGGAUUAUUUCCUUUUUAUUGCCAAGUAGUAUUCUGUUGUGUGGAUAUACACAGUAUUCUUGACCCUUCACCUGAUGAGGAAUUUCCAAUACUGGAUAUUAUAAAUAAAUUUGAUGUGGAUAUUUAAAUACAGAUUUUUAAAGAAACAUGUUUCCUUUUUCUGAGACAAGUGCUUAAGAGUGUAUUGUUUGUGUAGUAAUUGUAGGUCAGCCUUUUGACAAACUACUAGGUUGAUUUCCAGAGUGCCUAGCAAUGUAUAGAUGGUGCAGUUUUUCACUAUUUGGUGUCACCAGUAUAUGUGUGUUUGUGUGUGACUCACUCUGUAGACCAGGCUGGCCUUGAACUCAGAGAUUCACCUGUCUCUGUCUCCCAAGCUGGUAUUAAAGGUGUUCACCACUACCUCCUGGCUUUUAACUUGCCUUAAAAAAAAAGAUGUAUUUUUAUUAAUUGUGUGUAGAUUGUGUGAAAGAUAUAUUUUUAUUAAUUAUGUGUAGAUUUUGUCUGCAUGUGGAUAUGUUCAUCUGAACAGGUGCCUCAGGGACUGUGGGUCUCUUGGGUCCGGGUAGUGGGGAGCAUCUGGAACACAUGCUGGGAAGCAGACUCGGGCCAUCCCUCUGCUUCCUAGUCCACACUUCCUGUGGCUAAUAACGUUGAACAGUUUUCAUGUGUUAUUUUUUUGUUUAUAUCUUUACUUCUGAGGUGUCUUAAUGUACAUCCCUGGACUGGAACGCACUAUGAGACGCACUAUGAUGCCAAGCUGUGCGUGGAUGCCUGGUGGCUCUCUUGCCUUGGCCUCCUGGAUUCUGUGCUCUAGGCCUAGACCACCAUGUGCUUCCUAACUCACCAAGGACUGAAGCCUCCAGAUCUUCCCACCAUUUUACAGGAAACAGAAGAGAGGCUAGUCUAGGGAAUUCCUAAGAGAAGAACAAGAAAACGUGGGCUAUCCAAUAGGAAAGUUUUAUGUUAGCUUGACACAAGCUGGUGUCAUUUAGGAAGAGGGAACUCCAACUGAGAAAGUGACCCAGAGUGGUCUGUGGGCAAGCCUGUGCUAUAUUUUCUUGAUCCAUGGUUGAUGUGGGUGGGUCAGUAUCAUCGUGGGCUGGCUGUCCUGAGUUUUAGGGGUAAGCAAGCCGGUGAGCAGCACUCUUCCUUGUCCUCUGCCUCAGCUCCUGCCUCCACGUUCCUGCUGUGACUCGCUUUCAUCAUGGACUAUAACGUGGAACUGUAAGCGGACAUAAACCCUCUCCUUCCCAAGUUGCUUUGGUCAUAUGUUUUAUCACAAUAAAGAAGUCCUAACUU